Molecule: long non-coding RNA, 272 nt
Filed under: Strongylocentrotus purpuratus (purple sea urchin)
Lineage: Eukaryota; Metazoa; Echinodermata; Echinoidea; Camarodonta; Strongylocentrotidae
Description: uncharacterized LOC115923075
Source: RNAcentral
GUGUGUAGAAAGCCCUUUUGGUUAGAUUUAGGCAAGACUGUGACGUCACUAGCGAUAAUUAAGAAGCUAGUAUUGAUUUGGCCGCUUGGAGGCGCUGUUAGGCGUGCUGCUAAUUUCCAUGUUUCGGAAAGGUUAUGUUAACCGGAGAUGCCAUUGAUAUUUGUCUAAUUUCGAUACAAGCCCAAUGAUAUUGAACCUGCAUUGUUUGCACGGUAUCUUCAUGGUUUGUCAAGUUCUGUCGUCGAUGGUGUCGAGGUGUUUUGGAAGUCACA